This 402-nucleotide ribosomal RNA is filed under the name uncultured Novosphingobium sp. Its description in RNAcentral is "bacterial SSU rRNA". It matches the Rfam family "Bacterial small subunit ribosomal RNA", at positions 355 to 774 of the family's 1533-position model. Lineage: Bacteria; Pseudomonadati; Pseudomonadota; Alphaproteobacteria; Sphingomonadales; Sphingomonadaceae. The record is from RNAcentral.
UGGGGAAUAUUGGACAAUGGGCGAAAGCCUGAUCCAGCAAUGCCGCGUGAGUGAUGAAGGCCUUAGGGUUGUAAAGCUCUUUUACCCGGGAUGAUAAUGACAGUACCGGGAGAAUAAGCUCCGGCUAACUCCGUGCCAGCAGCCGCGGUAAUACGGAGGGAGCUAGCGUUGUUCGGAAUUACUGGGCGUAAAGCGCGCGUAGGCGGCUGCUCAAGUCAGAGGUGAAAGCCCGGGGCUCAACCCCGGAACUGCCUUUGAAACUAGGUAGCUAGAAUCUUGGAGAGGUCAGUGGAAUUCCGAGUGUAGAGGUGAAAUUCGUAGAUAUUCGGAAGAACACCAGUGGCGAAGGCGACUGACUGGACAAGUAUUGACGCUGAGGUGCGAAAGCGUGGGGAGCAAACA